GAGCUGCUGCCUGAGUAACUGGUAGUCGCCAUGUUUGAUCUAAGGAGGAACCUUCUCCUGGCGGACAUGGGUUAUCACUGGGUUCAGUGCUUGGAUGACUCUGCUGUGUCUGGUGACCAUUUUGGGCAGAGGAUGAGACACAGACAGGAAGAGAAGAAGAAAAACAGAAAAAGAGACACCUGUAGCAUUGCUCCACCACUCAUGAGGCUCCCCUGCUCCAGUGGGGACUAGGGGCUCAAACCUGGUUUCCUGUACAUGGUUGUAUGUAUGCUCUACAUGGUCCUCAUGGAGUUGGACUUCAGAGCCCCCCUGGUCAUCAUCUCCCCUAUCAUUCCUACCCCACUGGGAGUAUGGAUCAAAAUUAUUUUUGGGGUGUAGAAGACUGGACCUCAAAGAAGAUGAAUUAUUGGAUAGUAAUUUGGAGACAGAAAAGGGAAAAUCGCUUCACUUCUCUGAAUUCCUAGACUAUCUGCAUCAUGGAGCCUACUUCAGAGUGCCACUGAGAGGACUGCAGGCUUGAUGAGCAGUGCCUGGCAUAACAUUCGACCAGCGAGAGGUGCUCUCGAAAGGUGUUAGUUGUGAGCUUCCUGUCUCUCUCUCUCUCUCGCUGCUAUUCGGACUUCAGAUCUCCCAUUGGAAUUUCUUUCAGUUUAGAAGGCUGUGAACUGGGCUUUAUACGAAGUAGCCUGAAGCCAGCUAUAGGGAAAGAGAGAGAGAGAAGGAGAAAGAAGAGAAGGAGAGAGGGUAGGUGGGAGGGGGAGAGAGAGAGAGAGAGAGAGAGAGGGUGUUUUUGUCCUGGGCACAUAACUCACACUCAACCUUUAACUUCAAAGAUCUAAUGAGAAGUUGGAGGUUGGGGUUGGGCAGUAGUGCCCUGGGUUAAGUGCACAUAGUUCAAAGCGCAAGGACAUAUGCAAGGAUCCCAGUUUGAGCACCUGGCUCCCCACAUGCAGGGGGGUCACUUCACAAGCGGUGAAGCAGGUCUGCAGGUGUCUGUCUUUCUCUCCCUCUCUCUAUCUUCCCCUCCUCUUUCAAUUUCUCUGUCCUAUUCAACAACAACAGUAAUAACAGCAACAACACCAACAACAAUGGGGAAAAAUGGCCUCCAAUGGAUUCAUAGUGCAGGCACCGAGCCCCAGUGUGCCCCAGUAUUUAUUUAUUUGCCCACUGGAGGCAAUUAAAUAAAUAAAUAAAUAAAUGUUGGAGGUAGGGGUCUGGGCUGUGGAGCACCCUGUUAAGCGUACACAGUACUAAGUGCAAGAAUCUGGUGUGUGUGUGUGGGGGGGUCACUUCACAAGCAGUGAAGCAGGUCUGCAGGUGUCUCUCUGUCCUCUCUCAAUUUCUUUCUGUCCUAUCCAAUAAAAUAGAAAGAAGAAGAGAAAAAAAAAAAAAAGCCACCAGGAGCAGUGGAUCAUAGGGCCAGCCCUCAGCCCCAGCGAUAACUAUGGGGCAAAGAGAAAGGGGUAAGGGGAGAGAUACAACCCUCGGUCUCUACUUUGCUAAGAGGUACUUUGUAGUUCUCAAUUUUCCAAGGGGCCUUACACACCUGA
This is a long non-coding RNA of Erinaceus europaeus (western European hedgehog), 1550 nucleotides long. RefSeq lists it as uncharacterized. The transcript has 5 exons. The record is from RefSeq and is a predicted model, not a curated record. NCBI's taxonomy places the organism in Eukaryota, Metazoa, Chordata, Mammalia, Eulipotyphla, Erinaceidae.